This 66-nucleotide transfer RNA is filed under the name Hydatina physis. Its description in RNAcentral is "tRNA-Phe". Lineage: Eukaryota; Metazoa; Mollusca; Gastropoda; Aplustridae. The record is from RNAcentral.
CAGUAGGUAGCUUAUAUUUGAAAGCCCAACACUGAAGAUGUUGAAAAGGUAGUUUACCCCUACUAA